RNAcentral lists this ribosomal RNA (252 nucleotides) under uncultured bacterium. Its description in RNAcentral is "partial 16S ribosomal RNA". It matches the Rfam family "Bacterial small subunit ribosomal RNA", at positions 526 to 779 of the family's 1533-position model. The record is from RNAcentral.
CGUAGGUGCAAGCGUUAAUCGGAAUUACUGGGCGUAAAGCGUGCGCAGGCGGUUAUGUAAGACAGAUGUGAAAUCCCCGGGCUCAACCUGGGAAUUGCAUUAGUGACUGCAUAGCUAGAGUGCGGCAGAGGGGAUGGAAUUCCGCGUGUAGCAGUGAAAUGCGUAGAUAUGCGGAGGAACACCGAUGGCGAAGGCAAUCCCCUGGGGCCUGCACUGACGCUCAUGCACGAAAGCGUGGGAGCAAACAGGAUU